This 408-nucleotide ribosomal RNA is filed under the name uncultured bacterium. RNAcentral's name for it is "partial 16S ribosomal RNA". It matches the Rfam family "Bacterial small subunit ribosomal RNA", at positions 28 to 526 of the family's 1533-position model. The record is from RNAcentral.
GACGAACGCUGGCGGCGUGCUUAACACAUGCAAGUCGAACGGAGUGGCGAACGGGUGAGUAACACGUGGGUGACCAGCCCUGCACUUCGGGAUAAGCCCGGGAAACUGGGUCUAAUACCGGAUAGUGUGGGAUGGGCCCGCGGCCUAUCAGCUUGUUGGUGGGGUAAUGGCCGACCAAGGCGGCGCCGGGUAGCCGGCCUGAGAGGGUGGACGGCCCCAUUGGGACUGAGGCACGGACCAGACUCCUACGGGGGGCAGCCGUGGGGAAUAUUACACAGUGGGCGGAAGCCUGAUGCGGCGACGCCGCGUGGGGGAUGACGGCCUUCGGGUUGUGAACACCUUUCACCAUCGACGCGGUAGAUGGAGAAGAAGCACCGGCUAACUACGUGCCAGCAGCCGCGGUAAUUC